GACGAACGCUGGCGGCGUGCCUAAUACAUGCAAGUCGAACGCACGAAGUUGAAGAGCUUGCUCUUUAACCAAGUGAGUGGCGGACGGGUGAGUAACACGUGGGUAACCUGCCCAUUAGAGGGGGAUAACAUUCGGAAAUGGAUGCUAAUACCGCAUAGUUUCAGGAAUCGCAUGAUUCUUGAAGGAAAGGUGGCUUCGGCUACCACUAAUGGAUGGACCCGCGGCGUAUUAGCUAGUUGGUGAGGUAAUGGCUCACCAAGGCAAUGAUACGUAGCCGACCUGAGAGGGUGAUCGGCCACACUGGGACUGAGACACGGCCCAGACUCCUACGGGAGGCAGCAGUAGGGAAUCUUCCGCAAUGGACGAAAGUCUGACGGAGCAACGCCGCGUGAGUGAAGAAGGUUUUCGGAUCGUAAAACUCUGUUGUUAAAGAAGAACAAGGAUGAGAGUAACUGCUCAUCCCCUGACGGUAUUUAACCAGAAAGCCACGGCUAACUACGUGCCAGCAGCCGCGGUAAUACGUAGGUGGCAAGCGUUGUCCGGAUUUAUUGGGCGUAAAGCGAGCGCAGGCGGUUCUUUAAGUCUGAUGUGAAAGCCCCCGGCUCAACCGGGGAGGGUCAUUGGAAACUGGAGAACUUGAGUGCAGAAGAGGAGAGUGGAAUUCCACGUGUAGCGGUGAAAUGCGUAGAUAUGUGGAGGAACACCAGUGGCGAAGGCGACUCUCUGGUCUGUAACUGACGCUGAGGCUCGAAAGCGUGGGGAGCAAACAGG
RNAcentral lists this ribosomal RNA (771 nucleotides) under uncultured Vagococcus sp. RNAcentral's name for it is "bacterial SSU rRNA". It matches the Rfam family "Bacterial small subunit ribosomal RNA", at positions 28 to 776 of the family's 1533-position model. The record is from RNAcentral. Lineage: Bacteria; Bacillati; Bacillota; Bacilli; Lactobacillales; Enterococcaceae.